CAAUAGCGUAUAUUAAAGUUGUUGCGGUUAAAAAGCUCGUAGUUGGAUUUUGGGACUCGUACAACCGGUCGCCCGAAAGGGUCGCACUGGGUGUCGGGACCUUCUGUCUGGAGCGGCCCGGGCGUCUCUUCACUGAGGCCCCGUGCCGGUCUAGGACUUUUACUUUGAACAAAUUAGAGUGUCCAAAGCAGGCUCACGCCUUGAAUACAUUAGCAUGGAAUAACCGAAUAGGACUUUGGUUCUAUUUCGUUGGUUGAAGGACCAAGGUAAUGAUUAAUAGGGAUAGUUGGGGGCAUUGAUAUUUAAUUGUCAGAGGUGAAAUUCUUAGAUUUAUGAAAGAUCAACUUCUGCGAAAGCAUUUGCCAAGGAUGUUUUCAUUGA
RNAcentral lists this ribosomal RNA (381 nucleotides) under uncultured eukaryote. Its description in RNAcentral is "partial 18S ribosomal RNA". It matches the Rfam family "Eukaryotic small subunit ribosomal RNA", at positions 592 to 976 of the family's 1831-position model. The record is from RNAcentral.